UCGGGUGAGCCAACGGAUAGGCACUCGGUCUCCAAAACCGAGCAAAACCGAGUUCGACUCUCGGCACCCGGGC
Molecule: transfer RNA, 73 nt
Filed under: Microlunatus endophyticus
Lineage: Bacteria; Bacillati; Actinomycetota; Actinomycetes; Propionibacteriales; Propionibacteriaceae
Description: tRNA-Trp
Source: RNAcentral